This is a long non-coding RNA of Etheostoma spectabile (orangethroat darter), 116 nucleotides long. RefSeq lists it as uncharacterized. The transcript is spliced from 2 exons. Lineage: Eukaryota; Metazoa; Chordata; Actinopteri; Perciformes; Percidae. The record is from RefSeq and is a predicted model, not a curated record.
UUACCUUGGCUAAAGUGGAAAAAGAGAAACAUGCCACAGAGAACAAGGUUAAGAACCUGACUGAGGAGAUGGCUUCUCAAGAUGAGAGCAUUGCUAAGCUGACCAAGGAAAAGAAA